Molecule: ribosomal RNA, 2706 nt
Filed under: Vibrio parahaemolyticus
Lineage: Bacteria; Pseudomonadati; Pseudomonadota; Gammaproteobacteria; Vibrionales; Vibrionaceae
Description: bacterial LSU rRNA
Rfam family: Bacterial large subunit ribosomal RNA
Source: RNAcentral
GUACCCCGAGGAAAAGAAAUCAACCGAGAUUCCGAAAGUAGCGGCGAGCGAAAUUGGACUAGCCCUUAAGCUUUACACGUGUUAGACGAACGGUCUGGAAAGUCCGACGAUACAGGGUGAUAGUCCCGUAGUUGACGACGUGUGUUCAGUGAAAUCGAGUAGGGCGGGACACGUGAUAUCCUGUCUGAAUAUGGGGGGACCAUCCUCCAAGGCUAAAUACUACUGACUGACCGAUAGUGAACCAGUACCGUGAGGGAAAGGCGAAAAGAACCCCUGUGAGGGGAGUGAAAUAGAACCUGAAACCGUGUACGUACAAGCAGUAGGAGCAGGCUUUGUCCUGUGACUGCGUACCUUUUGUAUAAUGGGUCAGCGACUUAUAUUCAGUGGCAAGGUUAACCAUCUAGGGGAGCCGUAGGGAAACCGAGUCUUAACUGGGCGUUCAGUCUCUGGAUAUAGACCCGAAACCAGGUGAUCUAGCCAUGGGCAGGUUGAAGGUUGAGUAACAUCAACUGGAGGACCGAACCGACUAAUGUUGAAAAAUUAGCGGAUGACUUGUGGCUAGGGGUGAAAGGCCAAUCAAACCUGGAGAUAGCUGGUUCUCCCCGAAAGCUAUUUAGGUAGCGCCUCGGACGAAUACUACUGGGGGUAGAGCACUGUUAAGGCUAGGGGGUCAUCCCGACUUACCAACCCUUUGCAAACUCCGAAUACCAGUAAGUACUAUCCGGGAGACACACGGCGGGUGCUAACGUCCGUCGUGGAGAGGGAAACAACCCAGACCGCCAGCUAAGGUCCCAAAUUACUACUAAGUGGGAAACGAUGUGGGAAGGCUCAGACAGCCAGGAUGUUGGCUUAGAAGCAGCCAUCAUUUAAAGAAAGCGUAAUAGCUCACUGGUCGAGUCGGCCUGCGCGGAAGAUGUAACGGGGCUAAGUAGUAAACCGAAGCUGCGGCAAUGUGCUUUUGCACAUUGGGUAGGGGAGCGUUCUGUAAGCGGUUGAAGGUGUGUGGUAACGCAUGCUGGACGUAUCAGAAGUGCGAAUGCUGACAUGAGUAACGAUAAAGGGGGUGAAAAACCUCCUCGCCGGAAGACCAAGGGUUCCUGUCCAACGUUAAUCGGGGCAGGGUAAGUCGACCCCUAAGGCGAGGCCGAAAGGCGUAGUCGAUGGGAAACGGGUUAAUAUUCCCGUACUUCUUACAAUUGCGAUGGGGGGACGGAGAAGGCUAGGUGGGCCUGGCGACGGUUGUCCAGGUUCAAGUGCGUAGGCUUAAGAGUUAGGUAAAUCCGGCUCUUUUUAAGGCUGAGACACGACGUCGAGCAUCUACGGAUGUGAAGUCAUUGAUGCCAUGCUUCCAGGAAAAGCCUCUAAGCUUCAGAUUGUAAGGAAUCGUACCCCAAACCGACACAGGUGGUCGGGUAGAGAAUACCAAGGCGCUUGAGAGAACUCGGGUGAAGGAACUAGGCAAAAUGGUACCGUAACUUCGGGAGAAGGUACGCUCUCGACGGUGAAGUCCCUCGCGGAUGGAGCUAUUGAGAGUCGCAGAUACCAGGUGGCUGCAACUGUUUAUUAAAAACACAGCACUGUGCAAAAUCGUAAGAUGACGUAUACGGUGUGACGCCUGCCCGGUGCCGGAAGGUUAAUUGAUGGGGUUAGACUUCGGUCGAAGCUCUUGAUCGAAGCCCCGGUAAACGGCGGCCGUAACUAUAACGGUCCUAAGGUAGCGAAAUUCCUUGUCGGGUAAGUUCCGACCUGCACGAAUGGCGUAAUGAUGGCCACGCUGUCUCCACCCGAGACUCAGUGAAAUUGAAAUCGCUGUGAAGAUGCAGUGUACCCGCGGCUAGACGGAAAGACCCCGUGAACCUUUACUACAGCUUGGCACUGAACAUUGACCCUACAUGUGUAGGAUAGGUGGGAGGCUUUGAAGCACGUACGCCAGUAUGUGUGGAGCCGUCCUUGAAAUACCACCCUUGUAGUGUUGAUGUUCUAACGUCGACCCCUUAUCGGGGUUGCGGACAGUGCCUGGUGGGUAGUUUGACUGGGGCGGUCUCCUCCCAAAGAGUAACGGAGGAGCACGAAGGUGGGCUAAUCACGGUUGGACAUCGUGAGGUUAGUGCAAUGGCAUAAGCCCGCUUGACUGCGAGAAUGACAAUUCGAGCAGGUGCGAAAGCAGGUCAUAGUGAUCCGGUGGUUCUGAAUGGAAGGGCCAUCGCUCAACGGAUAAAAGGUACUCCGGGGAUAACAGGCUGAUACCGCCAAGAGUUCAUAUCGACGGCGGUGUUUGGCACCUCGAUGUCGGCUCAUCACAUCCUGGGGCUGAAGUCGGUCCCAAGGGUAUGGCUGUUCGCCAUUUAAAGUGGUACGCGAGCUGGGUUUAGAACGUCGUGAGACAGUUCGGUCCCUAUCUGCCGUGGGCGUUGGAAGAUUGAAGGGGGCUGCUCCUAGUACGAGAGGACCGGAGUGGACGAACCUCUGGUGUUCGGGUUGUGUCGCCAGACGCAUUGCCCGGUAGCUAAGUUCGGAAUCGAUAACCGCUGAAAGCAUCUAAGCGGGAAGCGAGCCCUGAGAUGAGUCUUCCCUGAUACUUUAAGUAUCCUAAAGGGUUGUCGGAGACUACGACGUUGAUAGGUCAGGUGUGUAAGUGCUGUGAGGCAUUGAGCUAACUGAUACUAAUUGCCCGUGAGGCUUAACCAUACAACACCCAAGGGGUUU